GAUCCCUUGGCGCAACGGUAGCGCGUUCGACUCCAGAUCGAACGGUUGGGAGUUCAAAUCUCUCAGGGGUCA
This 72-nucleotide transfer RNA is filed under the name Mitosporidium daphniae. It matches the Rfam family "tRNA". Rfam says of the family: Transfer RNA (tRNA) molecules are approximately 80 nucleotides in length. Lineage: Eukaryota; Fungi; Microsporidia. The record is from Rfam by way of RNAcentral.